Salvelinus fontinalis (brook trout) is the source of this 1059-nucleotide long non-coding RNA. RefSeq lists it as uncharacterized. The transcript has 3 exons. NCBI's taxonomy places the organism in Eukaryota, Metazoa, Chordata, Actinopteri, Salmoniformes, Salmonidae. The record is from RefSeq and is a predicted model, not a curated record.
CCACACUGUAGCAGUAAGCAGAAGAACAGACAGUUAAUGAAUGAUACACGUGAACUCCCAAACUCAAGCACACACACACACACAGUCAGCAUAUAACUUUGUCCAAGUGGUAGUAAGAAUGUUUGUCUUAACUAGCCUGAUAACUCAAACAUGUCUGAUAUGAACAUUGACAUAAACCCUCUACAUACUUGAGUUUCUCCAGUCUGCAGUGUGGAUCCUCCAGUCCAACAGAGAGCAGUCUGACUCCUGAGUCUCCUGGGUGAUUGUAGCUCAGGUCCAGCUCUCUCAGGUGUGAGGGGUUUGACUUCAGAGCUGAGGCCAGAGAAGCACAGCCUUCCUCUGUGACUUGACAGCGUGACAGCCUGCAAAGAGUCAAAUCAUUUUAUUUAUAUUUCCCCCUUUUUCAAUCUUGGCUCAUCGCUGCAGCUCCCUAACGGGCUCGGGAGAGGUGAAGGUGGACUCAUACAUCCUCUGAAAUAUGACUAACCGCACUUAACACCCGCCAGCUAAGCCAGAAGCCAGCCACACCAAUGUGUCGGAAGAAACACUGUUCAACUGGCGUCCGGGGUCAGCCCACAAGCACCCGGCCCGCCACAAGAGUCGGUAGAGUGCGAUGAGCCAAGUACAGCCCCACCAGCUAAACCCUCCCCUCCCCUGUGUCGUUCUAUGGAACUCCCGACCACGGCCGGUUGUGGCACAGGACCGUAGUAACACCUCUAGCAGUGCCUUAGACCACUGCGCCACUCGGAAGCCCUGUAAAAUCCUUUUUAAACCACACUGCUAUACUUUGGUGGUGAAAAUAGAGUGAGCAGCUCUGGAGGCUUUGACCACUGGCAGCAGCCUCAGAAGACCUUUCUCUGAUCUGGUGUAUUUCUUCAGGUCAAACACAUCCAGCUCCUCUUCUGAAGUCAGCAACACAAAGACCAGAGCUGACAACUGUGCAGUGUGGACCUGUCUCUUCUUUCCCAGCAUACUUGCCAUUCUUCUGAUUGGUAAGAAACUCCACAAGGUGUAUGUACAUCUCAGUCAGAGUCUUGGGCAUCUCUUCUCUCUUAUGUU